UUAACCAAGCAGCUAGCCCCCCCCCCCCCCCCCAUUUCAAGUAAUAAAUAUUUAUAACCCCAAACACACCAUAUCACAAACAACAAAUCAUUUUCCCCCCCUAGUAUGGGCGACAGAAAAGGAGACCAGGAGCUAUAGAGAAAGUACCGCAAGGGAAUGCUGAAAGAGAAGUGAAAAAACCCAGUAAAGCAAAUAAAAGCAGAGCUACCCCCUCGUACCUUUUGCAUCAUGAAUUAGCCAGUACUACUCAAGCAAAGGGCACUUUAGUUUGAAACCCCGAAACUAGAUGAGCUACUUCAAGCCAGCCUAUAUAGGGCAAACCCGUCUCUGUGGCAAAAGAGUGGGACGAGCUUCAAGUAGUGGUGACAGACCUAUCGAAUCUAGUUAUAGCUGGUUGCCUGGGAACUGGAUACGAGUUCAGCCCCCAGGCUUCUCCGCUCAUCCCCCAGCCAUUAUCCCGAUUAAGAGAAACCAGGGGAGUUAAUCAAAGGGGGUACAGCCCCUUUGACCCAAGACACAACUUUUUCAGGCGGGUGUGGAUCAAAAUAUGACAAGGUAACCCCCUGGGUGGGCCUGAAAGCAGCCAUCCCCACAGAAAGCGUUAAAGCUCAGACAUCCUACCAACCCCUAUUAUCCCGAUAAACUCCUCCCAACCCCCUAAUUUUACCAGGCCGUCCCAUACUACUAUGGGAGCGAUCAUGCUAAUAUGAGUAACAAGAAUGGCUUCCGCCUUUCUCCUAGCACACAUGUACCUCGGAGCAGACUAACUACCGAACCUUAACGACCCCAAACCAAGAGGGUACUGAACAAUACUCAAAAUUACAAGAAACCCCCCCAAACCCACACCGUUAACCCCACACAGGCGUGCCUAAAAGGAAAGACUUAAAGAAAGAGAAGGAACUCGGCAAACACUAUGCCUCGCCUGUUUACCAAAAACAUCGCCUCUUGCAAAAGCAACAAAUAAGAGGUCCUGCCUGCCCCGUGACUAUAUGUUCAACGGCCGCGGUAUUUUGACCGUGCAAAGGUAGCGUAAUCACUUGUCUCUUAAAUGGAGACCUGUAUGAAUGGCAAGACGAGGGCUCAACUGUCUCCCCUCUCUGGUCAAUGAAAUUGAUCUCCCCGUGCAGAAGCGGGGAUCCCCCCAUAAGACGAGAAGACCCUGUGGAGCUUUAGACACUAAAAUAGACCAUGUCCCUCCCCCAAGUAUAAAUGACAAAACUUAAUGACCCCCUAUCCUACUGUCUUCGGUUGGGGCGACCGCGGAGAAACAAACAUCCUCCACGCGGAAUAAGAGCACUACUCUUACAAACAAGAUUUCCCACUCUAACGUAACAGAAUUUCUGACCUUAUGAUCCGGCAAUGCCGAUUAACGAACCAAGUUACCCCAGGGAUAACAGCGCAAUCCUCUCUUAGAGACCAUAUCGACGAGUGGGUUUACGACCUCGAUGUUGGAUCAGGACAUCCUAAUGGCGCAGCCGCUAUUAAGGGUUCGUUUGUUCAACGAUUAAAGUCCUACGUGAUCUGAGUUCAGACCGGAGUAAUCCAGGUCAGUUUCUAUCUAUGUGUUACUUUUUCUAGUACGAAAGGACCGAAAAGAUAGAGCCCAUGUUCUUAGUACCCUCUAAUCUUACCUGAUGCAAACAACUAAAUUAGGCAAGGGACACUGAGUUUAAUCUGAGAGGACGAUUC
Molecule: ribosomal RNA, 1689 nt
Filed under: Pempheris schwenkii (black-stripe sweeper)
Lineage: Eukaryota; Metazoa; Chordata; Actinopteri; Acropomatiformes; Pempheridae
Description: 16S ribosomal RNA
Rfam family: Bacterial large subunit ribosomal RNA (bases 104-1611)
Source: RNAcentral